AACGAACGCUGGCGGCAGGCUUUAACACAUGCAAGUCGAGCGAGAAGCUUUCCUUCGGGGGGAUGGACAGCGGCANACGGGUGAGUAACGCGUGGGAACGUACCCUUCGGUUUGGAACAACUCCCGGGAAACUGGAGCUAAUGCCAAAUACGCCCUUCGGGGAAAGAUUUAUCGCCGAUGGAUCGGCCCGCGUCUGAUUAGCUUGUUGUGGGGUAACGGCCACCAAGGCGACGAUCAGUAGCUGGUCUGAGAGGAUGAUCAGCCACACUGGGACUGAGACACGGCCCAGACUCCUACGGGAGGCAGCAGUGAGGAAUAUUGGGCAAUGGGCGAAAGCCUGACCCAGCCACGCCGCGUGUGUGAUGAAGGCCCUAGGGUUGUAAAAUCCUUUCGCCAGGGAAGAUAAUGACGGUACCUGGAGAAGAAGCCCCGGCUAAUUUCGUG
Molecule: ribosomal RNA, 444 nt
Filed under: uncultured bacterium
Lineage: Bacteria
Description: bacterial SSU rRNA
Rfam family: Bacterial small subunit ribosomal RNA
Source: RNAcentral